This 4418-nucleotide long non-coding RNA is filed under the name Mus musculus (house mouse). RNAcentral's name for it is "long non-coding RNA chr13:18805583-18810001". Lineage: Eukaryota; Metazoa; Chordata; Mammalia; Rodentia; Muridae. The record is from RNAcentral.
AAGAAUAUGCUUGAGAAUAUUCCCUACCGUGCCAUGCUGUAUGAUAUUCCCUGUCUGCUGUAUGGUAUUCCCUAUCUGCUGUAUGAUAUUCCCUAUCUGCUGUAUGGUAUUCCCUAUCCUGCCAUGCUGUAUGUUCUUUCUUUGUGGGGAUUUAAAAAGACCAAAAAAAUUUUUUUGGCCAUGUUGGUCUUGAGUCAAAGCAAGAUGCAGGAUGAAGGCUCCCACCUGCUCCCCUGGCUACCUGCUCACCCCUGGCUCUAUCAGAAUUAGGGGCCUCUCUCAGCUGUGCACAGCCAGUACCUUCUCCACACUGGAUAGUGUUUCAUUCAGUUGUCUUUUCUAUAAAAAAAAAAAAAAAGACUUAUUUGAGUUUUAGUUAUGGGAGGUUGUGUGUGUGUGUGUGUGUGUGUGUGUGUGUAUGCACGAGCAUGCACGGAAGCCAGUAAGCCACCUGAUAAUAGGUAUGGAGAACCAAGCUCUGAUCCUGUGGGAGAGCAGUGAGCCUUAACUACGGAGCCAUCUCUCCAGUCCUUGUUUUCUAUUAACAAUUUUAUUUUUGAUCAUUCUCGAGUCUUUUAGUGCCAUCGCAAGACUUCCUGUCCUUCUGCCCUUUGCCUUGUUUUCCUGAUACUGCCCUAUUAGGUGCUGAGUUGCGGAGGUUUGUGUUCAUAAAAGAUUCGUUAUCUUCUUGUCUACUGUUUCAUCUGACUUAGCCAAGGUUGUCUUUUAUGGUCUCUUUCUUUCUCUCUCUCUCCCUCUCCCUCUCUCUCCUUUUCACUUUCCCUUCCUGUAGGAACAAAGCUGGUGGCUUCCAUAUCUAUUUCCUGUGGCAUCCUUGCUGCUUAGAGCAAGCAGUAUUGCAGGGGUUGAAGAAAGCUAAAAAGUCACAUUGUUCAUAAACUUGCAAGAUCCUGAGCUGACAACUGAAACAUGCCCCUUUCCUUUAUUAGGGGAGAGUGGGUUAUUGGUAAUGAUAGCACUGGAUACCAGAAACACAGGCUGUAUUACAACCUGCUAGGGGUCUUGGCACAGGUGUGGGAGAUUCUGGGAUGUGCAUCCUAUACCACUUUGUAGUGCAGGAAAGUGUUAGAUACAUCUAUCAGCACAAAACAUAGAAGAAUAAAGUAUAUUGCUGGUAUGUGAAGGCUCCUAUUGAAAUAUAAGUACUGAGAGUGCUGACUGCCAGAAUGUGGAUUUAUGGGAAAUAAAGCCCUAAAAUACUUUCUCCAACAACAACAAAAAUAUAGACCUCUUGGAAACAGCUUUUCCUCUCUGUGUACUUAGCUCCCAUUGAGCUUAAAUUGCUCUCAGUAUUGGGAUAAUGACAAUUCGAUAAUACAGGAUGUGGAAGACAAACCAAAUAAAUUAACCAGCUGCUUUUAAGGCUAGUUCGUUCAAUGACUUAUCCCUAAAAUGCUUUGUAGAACACUCGUGCUCAGUAGGUCUCUAGGCAGGUUUAUGACUAGGAGAAAGAAAUGGAUUUUAUUAAAUGUCAGUGAAAUCAGGGCAGAUAGCUUUGUGGUACUUAAAUUAGUGCAGAAUGUGUGUAAGAAAAGUCAUUUAUAUUUUUCUAAAUCAUCAGUGCAGAACUUUCUUUGGCAUUUCUGCUAGAAAACAUGUUUCUACUCAAAAUUCCCAUAGAUUAGUAUAAAUUCGUAAAUGGAAAGUGCACCAGUUGAUAAUGGUCUCCUUCAUGAAGUGCUGUGUCCCCUAGAGCAAGCCCCACAGAAGGACAAUGACUGGCAGACAUGUGAAGUUGAAUACCAUGUAAAGCUUAGAAGCCCAAACUCGUGUGUUAGGAAUAAGGGCAGGGGAAGAGGCUUGAAAGGAACUGCUGAGGAACCGGGGACACGAUGCAAGGGAAGAGCUGCUUAGGUGCAGAGAGCCAGAGAAAAGAAUGCCAUCACGUCUAGAGAGCCAAAGAGAACACGUCUGUGUCCUCAUUGAAAAGAUCAUCAGCUACUUACAUGGAGCAAGGGAAGUCUGACAUUAAAAGGAGUUUUCAAAAUUGUGAUAAGCUUUGUAAAAGUUACAUGUUCUGCCCUUGAGGAAUGGGCAGUAGCCUGCCGUUGUGGGAGCUGGAAAUGAGCUAAAUAGAGUCCCUUUUGACAGAGAUGUGUUAACUGUAUCCAUGUAUACAGUAUAGUCUUUGAAACAUUAGGAAAUACAGGUUGGUUAUACAAGCCAUUAUAUAGCUCUACCAGUUGCAAACACAUUAUCUAUUAACAAUGAGAGGAGUACUAAGAGUAGCUCUCAGGCAGCCUACUUCCUAUCUCCCUGUUCAUCUUGCCCAAAUGCCUAGCAAAGUAAAAGGUGUGGUCCUUUCUCUAGCAGGUAGAAGGAAGGAAGCUCAGAUGAUAGCCAGACCCAGUGAAGAGGGUACCUUAACCGGACCUUGGUGCUGUGAUUGGACCAACAGGAUUGUAAAGCAUAUACCAGGACCAAGCAAUUGGAGAGACAUGACUUACAGAAGAAUGCUUGCUUCUUUACAGAUAAUUCAUUUUUAUUUACAAAAAGUAGUAGUGAUGUGUUUAAAACUAUUGUUUUGAGAACCAUCCAAAGACAAAUCACAUUUAAAUUAUAGUGGUAAAUAGUUUAAAAUGUUUCCUUCAUUUAGUGAAGUUAGCUUGUUUACUUUUUUGGGUUUCAGCCUGGUUCUGUUUUUCCAGUGCCUGGGACUUUCUGUCUUUACGAAACCCUCACUGAGGAUCUUUGCUCUCCCUGUUGCGUGUUACACAGAUGCUACAGGUCUGAACCAAAGCUGACAUGGACUGACAUCUGAGUUCUGGUCUCCUUCCUUCUCUUCCUGCCAGAACUCCUGGAAGCAGAACAGGACAAAGGGAAGCUAGGACCCUGCUGGCCUCAGUUUCCUCUGGUAACCCCAAACAAACUGAUUGUAGCACAGGGAGCUCUGUGGAGUGAAUCUGAAUGUUGUUUCUGUUUACAGCAAGUCGUAAUGGUUUUCUGAAGAAGCUGAUGGUAUAUUUUAAAAUAAGGAUUGUGACUAAUUGCUUAUACCUCUUCAUCUAGAGAUAGUGUCUUGUGACAUCUCCUUCAUUCAGUCUUCGUCAGGACUCAUGAUAGGUUCUCCAGGCCCAGACAGUCUGCCUUUAUCACAUGUACAUAGUCGCAACACUAAAUAGACUCUGCAGGUUGUACUUGUACGAUGGCUUGUGUGUGUGUGUGUGUGUGUGUGUGUGUGUGUAGCAAUAAUUAAAGGAGAGGUCAUGAAUUCAGGAGGAAGAGGAAGGAGAAGUAGAAGCCAUGUAAAUACAGUUCUCAUAAAAUUCUCAAAGAUCUUUUAAUUAAAAAAAUAGUGGUGGCUUCUGUAAAUUAAUUUGGAAGCACAUUUUUGUCCUCUUUUAAGAUUUCAGUAUGUUUUUUUAUCGCUUCAUCCAGCUCCCUAAAUUAAACUUGGUUGUAAAACGUGGACUUCAUCCUUAUUAAUGAGUUAACAUUAUAAAAAAAAUCACAUGAAUAAUUAGAAAAAUUUCUAUGUAAGAUUUCUUCAUACCCUUUUCUAGAAUUAUGAUUACUUUGUAAUAUAUGCUUCAUAUUUCUAUACUACUUUCUGUGUAAAUAUUUAUUAUGUGGCUAUUUAUUCAUAUUUAAGUGGUAUCAUAGAAAAUACUAUUUUGUAGUAUUUUUAAUAUCUUAAGUAUCUUUAUAUUGAUAAUACACAUAUAGAGACAGAUAUUUAUAGGUAGGUAGAUAGACAGACACACUGACUGAUAGUCCUGAUUUUGUCCAUCUCCAUAUUGUGCUCAGUAGUUGCCAUGUUUUUAGUUUAUCUGUGGUUGUCAUAUAUAACUUUAAUUGUAUAGCAUCAAUUUCUAGGUUGCCCCUGAUGUUUCCUCCCUUAUACUUAGGGCCUGGUAGUAGAUACACAAAACACUGAGGUAAACUGAAAGGAAUUUUAAAAAUUCUCUUGCCAGGAAUGGUGGCACCUGCCAACAAUCCUAGAGUAUGAUGGCAGAGGGAUAGUAGACCAAGAACUCUAUCUACACCAGCAUUCUAGGCCGACAAUAGUGAAGCUCAUCUCCGCCUCACCCCAGACCUCUCUCAGCCUCUGUCCUCAGUGUAGCAGACAGCAGUAACACACAUACGUCUGGUUGUUGUGCUUUCAGCGAUACAUGCUAUAGGUGGCACUGCUUAAAGAGUUGAAGUUGAGUAUAUCAAGAAGAAUAUGUUCUCAGUGGAUGAAUUAUCAGACCUGUGUCUUCUUCAGAAUUAAGGAGUUUUGACCAGUUAUAUUUUAUUUUAAAAUAGUCAGUGGGACUUCACAAUAGAUUCUAAUCUUUAUAUAGUGUCUAGCUACUGUGGAAAAUGUAAAGAUCCCAAAUCUUAAAGCAAAUGGUUCAUACUUUGUGAUUUGAUUUACUGUUAAAAAGAUAAUGUCACAUUAUUUGCUUUGGAUU